GUGGUUGCUCUUCGAGAGAAUCCUAAGAAGAUUGGGCUUGGGAGGAAAACGAGUGGCGAUCUCUUUUUGAAGGGGAAGGUUUAUAUAAAUAUGGAUGGAUAUGAUACUUGAUAGC
This is a long non-coding RNA of Asparagus officinalis (garden asparagus), 115 nucleotides long. RefSeq lists it as uncharacterized. The record is from RefSeq and is a predicted model, not a curated record. The transcript is spliced from 3 exons. Lineage: Eukaryota; Viridiplantae; Streptophyta; Magnoliopsida; Asparagales; Asparagaceae.